CCUACGUGCGGCAGCAGUGAGGAAUAUUGGUCAAUGGACGAGAGUCUGAACCAGCCAAGUAGCGUGAAGGAUGACUGCCCUACGGGUUGUAAACUUCUUUUAUAUGGGAAUAAAAUGUUCCACGUGUGGGCUUUUGUAUGUACCAUAUGAAUACGGAUCGGCUUACUCCGUGCCAGCAGCCGCGGUAAUCCGGAGGAUCCGCGCUGUAUCCGGAUUUAUUGGGGUUUAAGGGAGCGUAGGUGGAUUGUUAAGUCAGUUGUGAAAGUUUGCGGCUCAACCGUAAAAUUGCAGUUGAAACUGGCAGUCUUGAGUACAGUAGAGGUGGGCGGAAUUCGUGGUGUAGCGGUGAAAUGCUUAGAUAUCACGAAGAACUCCGAUUGCGAAGGCAGCUCACUGGACUGCAACUGACACUGAGGCUCGAAAGUGUGGGUAUCAAACAGGAUUAGAUACCCCGGUAGUC
This 460-nucleotide ribosomal RNA is filed under the name uncultured bacterium. RNAcentral describes it as "partial 16S ribosomal RNA". It matches the Rfam family "Bacterial small subunit ribosomal RNA", at positions 338 to 795 of the family's 1533-position model. The record is from RNAcentral.